UGGCGCACGGGUGAGUAACACGUGAAUAAUCUACCUCCGAGUGGGGAAUAACUGAGAGAAAUCUUAGCUAAUACCGCAUAAUACCCACGGGUCAAAGCAGCAAUGCGCUUGGAGAGGAGUUCGCGGCCGAUUAGUUAGUUGGCGGGGUAAUGGCCCACCAAGACGAUGAUCGGUAUCCGGCCUGAGAGGGCGCACGGACACACUGGAACUGAAACACGGUCCAG
Molecule: ribosomal RNA, 224 nt
Filed under: uncultured bacterium
Lineage: Bacteria
Description: partial 16S ribosomal RNA
Rfam family: Bacterial small subunit ribosomal RNA
Source: RNAcentral